UACGUAGGUGGCGAGCGUUGUCCGGAAUUACUGGGUGUAAAGGGAGCGUAGGCGGGAACGCAAGUUGAAUGUGAAAACUAUGGGCUCAACCGAUAGUUGCGUUCAAAACUGCGAAUCUUGAGUGAAGUAGAGGCAGGCGGAAUUCCUAGUGUAGCGGUAAAAUGCGUAGAUAUUAGGAGGAACACCAGUGGCGAAGGCGGCCUGCUGGGCUUUAACUGACGCUGAGGCUCGAAAGUGUGGGGAGCAAACAGG
This 252-nucleotide ribosomal RNA is filed under the name uncultured bacterium. Its description in RNAcentral is "partial 16S ribosomal RNA". It matches the Rfam family "Bacterial small subunit ribosomal RNA", at positions 524 to 776 of the family's 1533-position model. The record is from RNAcentral.